RNAcentral lists this ribosomal RNA (253 nucleotides) under uncultured bacterium. RNAcentral's name for it is "partial 16S ribosomal RNA". It matches the Rfam family "Bacterial small subunit ribosomal RNA", at positions 524 to 776 of the family's 1533-position model. The record is from RNAcentral.
GACAGAGGAUGCAAGCGUUAUCCGGAAUGAUUGGGCGUAAAGCGUCUGUAGGUGGCUUUUUAAGUCCGCCGUCAAAUCCCAGGGCUCAACCCUGGACAGGCGGUGGAAACUACCAAGCUGGAGUACGGUAGGGGCAGAGGGAAUUUCCGGUGGAGCGGUGAAAUGCGUAGAGAUCGGAAAGAACACCAACGGCGAAAGCACUCUACUGGCCAUGACUGACACUAAGAGACGAAAGCUAGGGGGAGCAAAUGGG